This 780-nucleotide ribosomal RNA is filed under the name uncultured bacterium. Its description in RNAcentral is "bacterial SSU rRNA". It matches the Rfam family "Bacterial small subunit ribosomal RNA", at positions 55 to 828 of the family's 1533-position model. The record is from RNAcentral.
AUGCAGUCGAGGGGCAGCAUAAAAGUAGCAAUACUUUGGUGGCGACCGGCGCACGGGUGAGUAACGCGUAUGCAACCUACCUAUCAGAGGGGAAUAACCCGGCGAAAGUCGGACUAAUACCGCAUAAAACAGGGGCACCGCAUGGUGAUAUUUGUUAAAGAAAUUCGCUGAUAGAUGGGCAUGCGUUCCAUUAGGUAGUUGGUGAGGUAACGGCUCACCAAGCCGACGAUGGAUAGGGGAACUGAGAGGUUGGUCCCCCACACUGGUACUGAGACACGGACCAGACUCCUACGGGAGGCAGCAGUGAGGAAUAUUGGUCAAUGGGCGGGAGCCUGAACCAGCCAAGUCGCGUGAAGGAAGAAGGAUCUAUGGUUCGUAAACUUCUUUUGCAGGGGAAUAAAGUGCAGGACGUGUCCUGUUUUGUAUGUACCCUGAGAAUAAGGAUCGGCUAACUCCGUGCCAGCAGCCGCGGUAAUACGGAGGAUUCGAGCGUUAUCCGGAUUUAUUGGGUUUAAAGGGUGCGUAGGUGGUUUGAUAAGUCAGCGGUGAAAGUUUGCAGCUUAACUGUAAAAAUGCCGUUGAAACUGUCGGACUUGAGUGUAAAUGAGGUAGGCGGAAUGCGUGGUGUAGCGGUGAAAUGCAUAGAUAUCACGCAGAACUCCGAUUGCGAAGGCAGCUUACUAAGCUACAACUGACACUGAAGCACGAAAGCGUGGGGAUCAAACAGGAUUAGAUACCCUGGUAGUCCACGCAGUAAACGAUGAUUACUAGCUGUUUGCG